This 266-nucleotide ribosomal RNA is filed under the name Escherichia coli. RNAcentral's name for it is "partial 16S ribosomal RNA". It matches the Rfam family "Bacterial small subunit ribosomal RNA", at positions 1 to 263 of the family's 1533-position model. Lineage: Bacteria; Pseudomonadati; Pseudomonadota; Gammaproteobacteria; Enterobacterales; Enterobacteriaceae. RNAcentral also lists the same sequence under 2 other names. The record is from RNAcentral.
AAAUUGAAGAGUUUGAUCAUGGCUCAGAUUGAACGCUGGCGGCAGGCCUAACACAUGCAAGUCGAACGGUAACAGGAAACAGCUUGCUGUUUCGCUGACGAGUGGCGGACGGGUGAGUAAUGUCUGGGAAACUGCCUGAUGGAGGGGGAUAACUACUGGAAACGGUAGCUAAUACCGCAUAACGUCGCAAGACCAAAGAGGGGGACCUUCGGGCCUCUUGCCAUCGGAUGUGCCCAGAUGGGAUUAGCUAGUAGGUGGGGUAACGG